Molecule: ribosomal RNA, 433 nt
Filed under: uncultured bacterium
Lineage: Bacteria
Description: partial 16S ribosomal RNA
Rfam family: Bacterial small subunit ribosomal RNA
Source: RNAcentral
AACGAACGCUGGCGGCAUGCCUAACACAUGCGAGUCGAACGAGACCUUCGGGUCUAGUGGCGAACGGGUGCGUAACGCGUGGGAACCUGCCCUUAGGUUCGGAACAACCUCCCGAAAGGGGUGCUAAUACCGGAUAAUGUCUUCGGACCAAAGAUUUAUCGCCUUUGGAUGGGCCCGCGUUGGAUUAGCUAGUUGGUAGGGUAAAAGCCUACCAAGGCGACGAUCCAUAGCUGGUCUGAGAGGAUGAUCAGCCACACUGGGACUGAGACACGGCCCAGACUCCUACGGGAGGCAGCAGUUGGGAAUAUUGGACAAUGGGCGAAAGCCUGAUCCAGCAAUGCCGCGUGAGUGAUGAAGGCCUUAGGGUUGUAAAGCUCUUUUACCCGGGAUGAUAAUGACAGUACCGGGAGAAUAAGCUCCGGCUAACUCCGUG